This is a long non-coding RNA of Daktulosphaira vitifoliae (grape phylloxera), 607 nucleotides long. RefSeq lists it as uncharacterized. The transcript is spliced from 3 exons. Lineage: Eukaryota; Metazoa; Arthropoda; Insecta; Hemiptera; Phylloxeridae. The record is from RefSeq and is a predicted model, not a curated record.
UCAAAAAUAUAAAUACAAUUUAUAUAGCAAUUGGAUUAAAAAAAAUAAGUUUCUCUUUAGCAACUUUAGUCCGGAUACAUUGUUCAAUGUUUAAAAAUGAUGUUAUAACACGACACACAACGAUUAUUUUCCUUAUUCGAAUAAUUUGUUUACCAUUUUUGUGUAAAAAGAAGUUUCUUUUACUGAGAAGAGAAGGUUCACAUAAAAACAGUUUUUUAUAAUAAAAACUUUUAUCGGUGAGCUCAACAAUCUUCGAAAGAAAAUAAGAUGAUGUUAAUUUAUGUUUGUGGUUAAAACACAAUUUUUGUUCACAAUAGAUGAUUAGUCGGGCUGUGCAUUAAUUUAAUACAUUAUGAAUAAAAUACACGACACACAAAAUAAAGGACAUACGAAACUUUACAAAAGAAGACGUGAUAACAAGAAUUAAAGAAGUGUAGCUGAGGAAUUUCCGGUGAAAGUCUGUUAAAUAAGUUGCAAUCUUUAUCCUACCCGUAUUACUCCGAAUUACAAUGGAAAAAUAUUCUCAUAGAAAUUGUUUUUUUUGGAAGAGAUUUUAUUUGUUUGAAAUUCAAAAAGAAUUAAAUUGCAAACGUACAAUAAAUUUUAG